UAGAGUUUGAUCCUGGCUCAGGAUGAACGCUAGCUACAGGCUUAACACAUGCAAGUCGAGGGGCAUCAGGAAGAAAGCUUGCUUUCUUUGCUGGCGACCGGCGCACGGGUGAGUAACACGUAUCCCAACUGCCCUUUACUCGGGGAUAGCCUUUCGAAAGAAAGAUUAAUACCCGAUAGCAUAAUGAUUCCGCAUGGUUUCAUUAUUAAAGGAUUCCGGUAAAGGAUGGGGAUGCGUUCCAUUAGGUUGUUGGUGAGGUAACGGCCCACCAAGCCUUCGAUGGAUAGGGGUUCUGAGAGGAAGGUCCCCCACAUUGGAACUGAGACACGGUCCAAACUCCUACGGGAGGCAGCAGUGAGGAAUAUUGGUCAAUGGGCGCUAGCCUGAACCAGCCAAGUAGCGUGAAGGAUGAAGGCUCUAUGGGUCGUAAACUUCUUUUAUAUAAGAAUAAAGUGCAGUAUGUAUACUGUUUUGUAUGUAUUAUAUGAAUAAGGAUCGGCUAACUCCGUGCCAGCAGCCGCGGUAAUACGGAGGAUCCGAGCGUUAUCCGGAUUUAUUGGGUUUAAAGGGAGCGUAGGUGGACUGGUAAGUCAGUUGUGAAAGUUUGCGGCUCAACCGUAAAAUUGCAGUUGAUACUGUCAGUCUUGAGUACAGUAGAGGUGGGCGGAAUUCGUGGUGUAGCGGUGAAAUGCUUAGAUAUCACGAAGAACUCCGAUUGCGUAGGCAGCUCACUGGACUGCAACUGACACUGAUACUCGAAAGUGUGGGUAUCAAACAGGAUUAGAUACCCUGGUAGUCCACACAGUAAACGAUGAAUACUCGCUGUUUGCGAUAUACAGUAAGCGGCCAAGCGAAAGCAUUAAGUAUUCCACCUGGGGAGUACGCCGGCAACGGUGAAACU
RNAcentral lists this ribosomal RNA (901 nucleotides) under uncultured bacterium. RNAcentral's name for it is "bacterial SSU rRNA". It matches the Rfam family "Bacterial small subunit ribosomal RNA", at positions 1 to 901 of the family's 1533-position model. The record is from RNAcentral.